Molecule: ribosomal RNA, 253 nt
Filed under: uncultured bacterium
Lineage: Bacteria
Description: partial 16S ribosomal RNA
Rfam family: Bacterial small subunit ribosomal RNA
Source: RNAcentral
UACGGAGGAUCCGAGCGUUAUCCGGAUUUAUUGGGUUUAAAGGGAGCGUAGAUGGAUUGUUAAGUCAGUUGUGAAAGUUUGCGGCUCAACCGUAAAAUUGCAGUUGAAACUGGCAGUCUUGAGUACAGUGGAGGUGGGCGGAAUUCGUGGUGUAGCGGUGAAAUGCUUAGAUAUCACGAAGAACUCCGAUUGCGAAGGCAGCUCACUGGACUGCAACUGACACUGAGGUUCGAAAGUGUGGGUAUCAAACAGG